GUCGAGCGGCGGACGGGUGAGUAACGCGUAGGAAUCUACCCAGUAGUGGGGGAUAGCCCGGGGAAACUCGGAUUAAUACCGCAUACGCCCUACGGGGGAAAGGCCGGGAUCUUCGGACCUCGCGCUAUUGGAUGAGCCUGCGUAGGAUUAGCUUGUUGGUGAGGUAAAGGCUCACCAAGGCGACGAUCCAUAGCUGGUCUGAGAGGAUGAUCAGCCACACUGGAACUGAGACACGGUCCAGACUCC
Molecule: ribosomal RNA, 246 nt
Filed under: uncultured bacterium
Lineage: Bacteria
Description: partial 16S ribosomal RNA
Rfam family: Bacterial small subunit ribosomal RNA
Source: RNAcentral